This is a long non-coding RNA of Cucurbita moschata (crookneck pumpkin), 1070 nucleotides long. RefSeq lists it as uncharacterized. NCBI's taxonomy places the organism in Eukaryota, Viridiplantae, Streptophyta, Magnoliopsida, Cucurbitales, Cucurbitaceae. The transcript is spliced from 5 exons. The record is from RefSeq and is a predicted model, not a curated record.
UUUCACAGCUAAACCAACGAACAAACCAGAAUGUCCCUUCGCAAUUUUUCGAAACCCUAGACCUCACUGAAAAUUGCAUUUGGAUUUCCACGCUCUGAUCUUCAAAAAUCAAUACCUUCUUCGAUUCAUAACUCUAAUUCUCCAUUAUUCGUCUUUCUAGUCUCUGAAAUUUUGAGUUCAGGUCUAUUCAUGUCUCGUAUUGAGCCCUAUGUUUCGGAUUCUUGCUCGGAGCAACAGUUUUCGCUACAAGAGGCUACCGCCGCAGCUUCUCCUCCUCCUCCUCUCCGUGCUAAAAUUGGACGGCUCUUCUUUCGCGUAGAAAGUCAGGACCUAUGGUCCUAGGUGCGAGUUGCAAGGACGGCGACGGUGGCAGCAGUUAGAGACGCGGUGGAGAGUGUUUUCUGUGGAAUGUCGAUGAAUAAAGAAGAUGACAAGAUUUCUUGGCCACAUGUGCGGUGUCAUUUUUGCUUAUGCUAUAAGCAUUACAAGCUGAUCGACGACAAAUCACGUAUCAAACAGUUUGAAAUCAUAGAUGUUGAUAAGCUGCAUUUUGUGAACCGUGUAGCUUAAUUUGUGGCAAGAAUCUGUGGAUUUGAGAUGUCCCAUCAAAGAAUAAAUAGAUUGAGCAAGGUAAGCGGGUUGAACGGCUUCCGGUAUAAAGUGGUCAGAAGGUUUUGGGCGUGUGAAUUAUUAUGAAGUGAUCAGAUGGGUCUUUUUCUGAUGUUAAAUUGGAAGUUUUGGUAUAAUAUAAACAGUACGAAUUUCAUUUCAUUUCUGCCACUCAAGACUGUACUUUUCUUUCUCUCAAUUCAGAAAUAUAGUCCUUUACAAGAUCGGUCUCUAAGGUACAGGAAGAAUGGCAAUGAAAAUGCCCAAGUGAUCUGAAAUUGAUACAUUUUCUAAAUCUGAAAUAAUGAAUAUCAUUGCCUAUCUACAUGUAUCGGAAUGAACAUCAAUUACCACCAACUUCUACUUUCCUCUUGGGGAGAGGAUUUGGAGAUUGAUCACCUUACAUGCUGCUUUCCGAUGUUCAAUGGAGAAGCUCUGAAGUUUUGGGAGUAGGUUAGGCC